GAUGAACGCUAGCGGCAGGCCUAAUACAUGCAAGUCAAGGGGCCAGCAAUGGCACCGGCGCACGGGUGCGUAACACGUACACAACAUACCUUUAAGUGGGAGAUAGCAUCGGGAAACUGGUGGUAAUACCCCAUAAUAUUGCGAUGCGGCAUCACAUUGCAAUUAAAGUUUCGAUGCUUAAAGAUUGGUGUGCGUCCGAUUAGCUAGUUGGCGGGGUAACGGCCCACCAAGGCUACGAUCGGUAGGGGGUGUGAGAGCAUGACCCCCCCACAUGGGUACGUGAGACACGGACCCAACUCCUACGGGAGGCAGCAGUAAGGAAUAUUGGACGAAUAGGACGGAAAGUACUGAUCCAGCCAUGCCGCGUGCAGGAUGAAGGCGCUCAGCGUUGUAAACU
RNAcentral lists this ribosomal RNA (397 nucleotides) under uncultured bacterium. Its description in RNAcentral is "bacterial SSU rRNA". It matches the Rfam family "Bacterial small subunit ribosomal RNA", at positions 28 to 431 of the family's 1533-position model. The record is from RNAcentral.